GUGAGGAAUAUUGCGCAAUGGGGGAAACCCUGACGCAGCAACGCCGCGUGGGUGAAGAAGGCCUUCGGGUCGUAAAGCCCUUUCGGACGGGACGAACGUCGUUCGGGGAUAAUCCGGACGGCCUGACGGUACCGUAAGAAGAAGCACCGGCUAACUCCGUGCCAGCAGCCGCGGUAAUACGGAGGGUGCAAGCGUUGUUCGGAAUUACUGGGCGUAAAGCGCGUGUAGGCGGUCUUGCAAGUCAGACGUGAAAGCCCUCGGCUUAACCGGGGAAGUGCGUCUGAAACUGCUUGACUCGAGUACGGGAGAGGGAGGCGGAAUUCCCAGUGUAGAGGUGAAAUUCGUAGAUAUUGGGAGGAACACCGGUGGCGAAAGCGGCCUCCUGGACCGAUACUGACGCUGAGACGCGAAAGCGUGGGGAGCAAACAGGAUUAGAUACCCGGGUAGUCC
This 450-nucleotide ribosomal RNA is filed under the name uncultured bacterium. RNAcentral describes it as "bacterial SSU rRNA". It matches the Rfam family "Bacterial small subunit ribosomal RNA", at positions 354 to 796 of the family's 1533-position model. The record is from RNAcentral.